This 598-nucleotide ribosomal RNA is filed under the name Escherichia coli. RNAcentral's name for it is "partial 23S ribosomal RNA". It matches the Rfam family "Bacterial large subunit ribosomal RNA", at positions 227 to 867 of the family's 2925-position model. The record is from RNAcentral. Lineage: Bacteria; Pseudomonadati; Pseudomonadota; Gammaproteobacteria; Enterobacterales; Enterobacteriaceae.
AACCGAGAUUCCCCCAGUAGCGGCGAGCGAACGGGGAGGAGCCCAGAGCCUGAAUCAGUGUGUGUGUUAGUGGAAGCAUCUGGAAAGGCGCGCGAUACAGGGUGACAGCCCCGUACACAAAAAUGCACAUGCUGUGAGCUCGAUGAGUAGGGCGGGACACGUGGUAUCCUGUCUGAAUAUGGGGGGACCAUCCUCCAAGGCUAAAUACUCCUGACUGACCGAUAGUGAACCAGUACCGUGAGGGAAAGGCGAAAAGAACCCCGGCGAGGGGAGUGAAAAAGAACCUGAAACCGUGUACGUACAAGCAGUGGGAGCCUCUUAAUGGGGUGACUGCGUACCUUUUGUAUAAUGGGUCAGCGACUUAUAUUCUGUAGCAAGGUUAACCGAAUAGGGGAGCCGAAGGGAAACCGAGUCUUAACUGGGCGUUAAGUUGCAGGGUAUAGACCCGAAACCCGGUGAUCUAGCCAUGGGCAGGUUGAAGGUUGGGUAACACUAACUGGAGGACCGAACCGACUAAUGUUGAAAAAUUAGCGGAUGACUUGUGGCUGGGGGUGAAAGGCCAAUCAAACCGGGAGAUAGCUGGUUCUCCCCGAAAGCU